AGAACGAACGCUGGCGGCAGGCCUCAAACAUGCAAGUCUAGGGGGAUGUAGCAAUACGUCACCGGCGGACGGGUGCGUAACACGUGGGAAUGUACUUACUGGUUCGGAACAACUCAGGGGAAACUUGAGCUAAUACCGAAUGUGCCCGAAAGGGGAAAGAUUUAUCGCCAGUAAAUCAGCCCGCGUCCGAUUAGCUAGUUGGUGGGGUAAAGGCUCACCAAGGCGACGAUCGGUAGCUGUUCUGAGAGGAAGAUCAGCCACACUGGGACUGAGACACGGCCCAGACUCCUACGGGAGGCAGCAGUUGGGAAUCUUGGACAAUGGGGGAAACCCUGAUCCAGCCAUGCCGCGUGAGUGAUGAAGGCCUUCGGGUUGUAAAACUCUUUCGACGGGGACAUAAUGACGGUACCCGUAGAAGAAGCUCCGGCUAACUUCGUGCCAGCAGCCGC
Molecule: ribosomal RNA, 449 nt
Filed under: uncultured bacterium
Lineage: Bacteria
Description: SSU rRNA
Rfam family: Bacterial small subunit ribosomal RNA
Source: RNAcentral